Molecule: signal recognition particle RNA, 272 nt
Filed under: archaeon
Lineage: Archaea
Description: signal recognition particle sRNA
Rfam family: Archaeal signal recognition particle RNA
Source: RNAcentral
UGGUGGAAUAGGCCGGGCGGUUAGGGGUCGCCUGUAAGCUCAAGCCCUCUUUAAUGCGGCCGAAAAGCCUGGAGAGGCCUGGUGGUAGUGCAGACCCGUUAUUCCGACUGCGAAGCCUCGUCCUCUGGGAUCAUUACUUUUAUGAACCGGGUCAGACCUUGACGGGAGCAGCCCUAAGUAAGGGUUUCUGAUGUUCAGGGGGUGCCGAGGUGGAGAAGGAAUUCCGGAUUAAUCUGCGCUGUCUCCUCGGUCCAUCCAGGCCCUUUCUACCA